This 264-nucleotide ribosomal RNA is filed under the name uncultured Glomeromycotina. RNAcentral describes it as "partial 18S ribosomal RNA". It matches the Rfam family "Eukaryotic small subunit ribosomal RNA", at positions 624 to 886 of the family's 1831-position model. Lineage: Eukaryota; Fungi; Glomeromycota. The record is from RNAcentral.
AAGCUCGUAGUUGAAUUUCGGGAUUGACACAUCGGUCGUGCCUUAAGGGGUAUGAACUGGUGUAGUCAAUUUCUCACCUUCUGGAGAACCGCGAUGCCCUUAAUUGGGUGUCGCGGGGAACCAGGACCUUUACUUUGAAAAAAUUAGAGUGUUUAAAGCAGGCAUUUUGCUUGAAUACAUUAGCAUGGAAUAAUAAAAUAGGACGGCAUGAUUCUAUUUUGUUGGUUUCUAGGACCACCGUAAUGAUUAAUAGGGAUAGUUGGG